AUGUUUUUACUUGAUGAUUUAAGAAGGGGUCCAGUAAAGACCAGAACUGGUAUAAGCCCUGAUGAAUCAGAAGUUCUGAAGAGGGACAAGACACAAGGCAAAAGUGGCCUAGGCCAGGAGUCAAUGUAUGAAAGAAAAACAAACUCAACCCAAACAGCUGGCAUUCAAUCCCUUUACAAGGAGAGAAUAGUGACCUCCAAGAACUUCAGAAUGCUUUUUACAAAUAGGGCAAAAGUGAAUUGAAGCUAUCCCAACAAGGGGAUACCCCAGUCUCUCAACAAGAAAGAAGCUGCAAAGAGGUUUGUAACUUUUCAAAAGCCUGGUCUGAUUCUGAAGCUUUGGGAAUAAGAACAAAGUCCAAUGUCCAGAGGUAUCAGCUAGGUUGUACGCAUUUUUCAAAGGGCAAGACGUCCUGGUGUAGCACUUUUGAUGUACCCUGUUUAUAUUCCAAGAUUUAGAGCAUUUUCUUCUUUGUAAAAGUGUUUGGAGAUUAAAAAUCUCGUAUUAUCUCAUUCCAUAGCACUGUAGGUUCUAGCAGGUUAAAACCCCACAAAAGUCAGUGAAAUGUUACAUGUAAGUAUUCAACUUUUAUAUUAUGAAGUGCAGUUUGGGCACCAAAUUAACAUAUCAUUUAUUUCCAUCAGCAUUGGUCAAAUGCAUGUGUCUGUAUGGGUGGAAUUUGUUCCGUCUUAAAACCUUCAUUGCCUGUGUCCAGCUAUGUAGCUACUGUAAUACAAGAGAAUACCAACCAGUGUCUUCCUGCAACUAUGGGAAGACUUUUCCGCUGUGAUGCCAUUUGACUAGGAGGUAAAGGGACUGCAGGGUUGGGAUGACUUGCUCAGCAAGAUCUUUAGGCUACGCAAUGCUGGGGUCAGUAUUUUAAUAAGAUCUAAAAUUAAGGGUGGCUACAACUGGAGAUGCAGAAGUUGUGUUGAUAUAAUUAACAAGUAACUCCGUGAAAUUCUUGACUAUUGCUCUAUGUAAGCUGAUUAUUUAUCUAAUAGAUGUUUCAUUCUACUUAAAUGUAUCAUUCUGUCAUCCCAGCAGGGCAAUACAUACUUAGCAAAGUGCUUCUCUGGGGUUAUUUGGCCUUUUCAGCAAGCUAAAUGUCUUUUUCAACAUUUAAAUUUUUUAAAGUGCAAAAGAAACAUCUUCUGUGAAACCAAAGUACUUUUUAACAAGAGACAAGUCUCUGGCUAUUUGCUUAACAUCCCCUGACCCCCAGCACUUCGCUUACUCUCUUUGACCUGAUAUUUAGUGCUGAACAUCAAAACCAUUUGAUAAAAAGGUACUUUGUCUGAACGGUUUGCUGUUCAAUUAAUUGUACAUUUUAAUUCAACAUUAAUCACAAUACCACAACAAAUAGUGUGUUAACCAGCAGUGUCUAAAACAAACCAGUGUGAUCCAGAAGCAAUAAUAUACAUUUGAAAAAUCAACUCAUGUAAUAAUUUUCAUAUUCAAAUCUGUUACUAGUACAAAUAGAAAAUUCAUAUACAGCAAUUAAGUGAACAUAUCAAAGUAGACUUCUUAGAGCAGUUUAAAGUAUUAAUAGUCACAAAAAAUGGUGUCAAUAAAACAUAUUAAAAUACUGUUCCUUCCAAAUGAAAAAAAAAAAAAGAGAAAGAUGAAACUAUUAAUGAAACAUCAAUAGUGUGAUGGGAUAGUUCAAAGUGCAUAUGCAAGAGGGUGGCAAUGCAAGCCCUCCUCUUUAUGCAUUCCCUCCUCUUGGCACAAUAACCUUGUGCAAAGAAUAGUCCUGCAGCCUUUGCAACAGAUCACCUCUCUUCCCAACUGGGACCUUCAUGUGCUCCUAGUUGUGCUAAAGAUUUCUGUAAACUGUCUUGCAAUAUGCAAGGUAGCGCACACUUUCUAGAAAAGUAUGUUAUGUACCAGUAAUGCCCCCUC
This is a long non-coding RNA of Melopsittacus undulatus (budgerigar), 1905 nucleotides long. The record is from Ensembl. Lineage: Eukaryota; Metazoa; Chordata; Aves; Psittaciformes; Psittaculidae.